Molecule: ribosomal RNA, 88 nt
Filed under: Lescuraea saxicola
Lineage: Eukaryota; Viridiplantae; Streptophyta; Bryopsida; Hypnales; Leskeaceae
Also listed under: 2 other names
Description: partial 5.8S ribosomal RNA
Rfam family: 5.8S ribosomal RNA
About the family: 5.8S ribosomal RNA (5.8S rRNA) is a component of the large subunit of the eukaryotic ribosome. It is transcribed by RNA polymerase I as part of the 45S precursor that also contains 18S and 28S rRNA.
Source: RNAcentral
UGAAUUGCAGAAUUCCGCGAAUCAUCGAGUCUUUGAACGCAAGUUGCGCCCGAGGCUUGUCCAAGGGCAUUUCCGCUAGAGCGUCACC